RNAcentral lists this long non-coding RNA (261 nucleotides) under Trifolium pratense (red clover). RNAcentral's name for it is "long non-coding RNA (TPRA_LNC000754)". Lineage: Eukaryota; Viridiplantae; Streptophyta; Magnoliopsida; Fabales; Fabaceae. The record is from RNAcentral.
CUGGCUUUUUGGACGGUGGCGGUUGGUCGUUCUUUGAGGCGGAGGUGAGUGGUUGGUCAUUCUUGGAGACGGGGGUGAGUGGUUCGUCGUCUUUGGACGCGGCGGGGGUUGGUUGCCGUUUCUUUGCCAUUGAGAAAUUUGGGAUUAGGGUUUCGGGGAGUGAGUCAGUGUGUCUGUCCGUGACAUCGAAAGUAUAUAUAACUAAAAAUAAUGGUAAAAAGAAGUUAGAGAGUCCAAAAUUAUUUUGCUUUUAUUAUGUUA